This 391-nucleotide ribosomal RNA is filed under the name uncultured bacterium. RNAcentral describes it as "bacterial SSU rRNA". It matches the Rfam family "Bacterial small subunit ribosomal RNA", at positions 29 to 421 of the family's 1533-position model. The record is from RNAcentral.
AUUGAACGCUGGCGGAAUGCUUUACACAUGCAAGUCGGGCGGCAGCGCGGGGGCAACCCUGGCGGCGAGCGGCGAACGGGUGAGUAACACAUCGGAACGUACCCUGUCGUGGGGGAUAACGAAUCGAAAGAUUCGCUAAUACCGCAUACGACCUGAGGGUGAAAGCGGGGGAUCGCAAGACCUCGCGCGAGAGGAGCGGCCGAUGGCGGAUUAGCUAGUUGGUGGGGUAAAGGCCCACCAAGGCGACGAUCCGUAGCGGGUCUGAGAGGACGGCCCGCCACACUGGGACUGAGACACGGCCCAGACUCCUACGGGAGGCAGCAGUGGGGAAUUUUGGACAAUGGGCGCAAGCCUGAUCCAGCCAUGCCGCGUGAGUGAAGAAGGCCUUCGG